AUCAUUAGGACGAUAGAGUUAUUAUCGAUAUCUAAUUAAUAUUGAUAAUUAGAACACGGUAGGCACCUGUCUUUAAUUACGGUUUAUAUUUAGUAACAUAUCGUUGUCUAGGUAACGUGUGUAUGUAUAUAUAUUGAUAGAUUUUCCAUCAAUCUCUUAUUCUCCUGCUGUACGUGAAAACUGGAUUUUUAAAAAGUUGAGGUUGAAGUAACCCGACACGCCCAUCCGAUGACCUCUGAACCCAACGAUAACUGACGUAUAAGUUAAUAUCAAGAUGGCGGAGUUUGACAGUUUACGAGCUGCUGUGACUGCGAACAACCUACUGAAGGUGGAAGAAAUUCUCGGGGAUCUUGACCAACAAUUCAAAGAUAAGCCAAACAGGAAUGAAUAUCUUAACCAGAGAAAGGCCCUUUGCUUUGAAGCUUUGAACCGUAAAAAUCUUCCUCUACUUAAGUUGGUUUUUCAUGGUGAAAUUUUUAUAAUGGGCAGGGAAUUUGAUCGGGAUGCCAACAUCGAGAUGUUAAAUGCUGCCAUUGCUGGAGAUUAUGCAGAAGGCGUCCAGUUUUUAAACGAACAACGACUGUCCCUUGAAUAUGAGGAAAGGGGCUGGAGUGCAUUGCAGGAAGCCACUAGCAAGAACAAAACAGCAGUUAUUAAAUUCUUGUUUUCACUACCAUAUUUAAACAUCAACUUGAAUCCCGAGGAAACGUUGCUAAUGACAGCCUGUAGCAGACGCCAUGUUGAAAUCCUGAAUCUUCUAUUGAGCAACAACAGAAUUAAAGAAACCAUUAAUGUGACGUCAUCUAAAGAUGGUGGAACGGCUCUACAUCGAUGCUUUGAAGGCGCAAUUCAACCAGAUGAUGCUUCGGUCCUGGCUUGUGUAAAAGCCCUGGUCCAAGCUGGCGCAGAUGUUAAUCUUCCCGCUAAAUCUACCAACAAGACGCCAUAUGCAUUGGCGAAUGAAAAGGGCCAGAAACAAGCUGCUCAAUAUCUGAAAGACAACGGGGCUAAUUAAAGCCUUGAUUUUUUUAUAUUUUAUAUAUUAAUAAUUCUUAUAAUAUAAUUGACAUUAGAUCAUUAGCAAUAUUUAUUACACAGCGAAUCUCAAUCCUUCUCCAUUAUACUAAUAAUUAUCUUAGGGAAUGCUCGAUUGCACGUUCCGGAAUCGAAUUCUGUCAAACCCAAAAAUAGUGACAAUCGAGUGAAAAAUGGGAAUUUGGAGCUAGAACGCAUGCGCUGACUGCGUAAGAAAAUAUAUCAACCAACCAUGACAGCUGAAACAUAUUCGGUGUGCUUAAAUACGUCACGAUUCUACUCGCACUACCUCCGUUGUCGUGGCUGACAGAACUGUGACAUGACUGAAUUCCGCGUCACACGUUUGCAAUUCGGUCAAUUCCUGCCUGACAAUCGAGCAUCCACGUCGACCACAUGACAAGCCCAGGACUCUCUGACACCUUUUUGUAAUGAUGUGGUAUUUUAUUUCAUUAUGUUCCAAUUACUAUGGGGGUGCUGGAUUGUCAGUCCGGAACGUCCCGAAUUGACAGAAUUGAAGUCAAGUGAUACGAAAUUCAGUCCUGUCACAGUUCUGUCAAAUCCCGAGUAGAAUCGUGACGUUUUUUAAGUAACAAAUAUGUUUCAACUGCCAUGAUUGGUUGAGAUAUUUUUUAUGCAGUCGGCACAUGAGUUGUACUCCGAAAUUCUUCUUUUCAUUCGACUGACACUAUUUUUGGAAUUGAGAGAAUUUAAUUCCGGAAUGUUAAAUCGAGUACCCCCUAAAAGCCAUUCAAAGAAUGAUGCAGGAUUAUUUGUUAAAACCAUUGUUCAAAAAUCUUUAAAAUUUGUGUCGUUAUAAUAAUAUUAUGAAUUAUCUCCCUUUAAUCAUAAUUGGCGUACAUAGCAACAACUAUGUUCCUUCGCAAAUUGAACCUCAAUAUCUAGGCUAGGAUGAUUUUUGCGCUGCUUUGGUUAGAAUAAAGGUAAUCAUAUUAUGCCAUUCUCGGAAACCUGUCACCUCUGGUUAAGGAGAAUACCCUGGUUUGUCUUUGUGGGCAUAGUUGUGCAAAAUCAUACCUCCGACCAUGUGACGGCUGAGUGGCCUUGCUGUUAUAGCUUGGUUUUAUUAGAGGACUAUUAAAAAACACCCCAACCAACACCCACGAGUUUAGUGCUAAAUGAUAAGGCCAGCUCAAUUUUUCGUCAUACGUCAGGAGAUGUAAACACGGCUAGCGCUAAUCCUGGACCUAGCCCUAACCUACAAUCUUGCCAACAAUCUCAGCGACCUUGACAAAAAUUGAGCUGUCCUUAACAAAUAUAUUUAGCCCAACACCCAGAGUCUAUUAGUGUACACUAGAGACACAGGCUAUCAUACAAUUGUUAAUGAUUUACCCAAUCUGGUUAAAACACAGAUCCUAUUUCGUUUCGUUUUUAUAGUUCAAAAUUUCGUUUUACUUAUCUUUACUACACUAGGACCUAGAAGAGUUGUUAUCAUUGACGUGUUCUGAAUGAUGUGAAGGAAUAGCCAAUGAAACGGUCUGUUACGGCGAGCUUUGCACGGAACUGUGGGUAAUCCACUAGUAACAUCAAUGCUGAUUGGUUAAUCAAAUGUCUGACGUCAUAGGGUCAAAAGCCGCUCGUAUGACCUUUGACGAGAACUAUUGCUACAACCGGUCAGAUCUUCAUGUAGUGUAGGCUAUCGAAAGUAUAAAAAAAAACGAAACGAAAUAUAGAUGUGUAUUUUAAUCAGAUUAUGAUUUACCAGUUUAUAUUCUAUGCAAUAUUUUAGACGCAAUUAGAGAGCAAUUUAACUAUGUUUUUUUUCUCUGUAAACUAUUUAAUAUUUACAUGUAUAUACUAUUGAUGUUGUUAACUGACCAAUAUUUAAUAUAUUUUUGAUGUUGUUAACUGACCAAUAUUUAAAUUGUUUAUCUUUAUAAUUAGUUAAGUUUUAUGAUAAAAUAAUUUACUAUAUAUUAACUUGAAAUGCUGAUAUGGGACAAGGUACGGGGAUAAAAUGAGAUCGGAGGAAAUGACGUGACAGAAUGAGUUCACGUAACGGGACAUGACAUAACAGAACGAGUUAACGUAAAGGAACGUGACGUGAUAGAACGAGUUAACGAAAGGAACGUGACGUGACAGAACGAGUUAACGUAAUAGAACGUGACGUGAUAGGAUGAGUUGACGCAACAGAGCGUGAUGUGAUAGGACGAGUUAACGUAACAGAAUGUGACGUGAUAGAAUGAGUUAACGUAACGGAACGUGGCACGAUAAAAUGUGUUAACGUGGCGGGAUAGAACGAUUUAACGUAAAUUUACGAAUUUCAAUUUCAAAUGUACAAGAAAGCUGUCUUAGUAAUCUGAAUUACUUAAACCACGUGUACAAGAAAGUCACGUUAUAAUGUACAAGAAAGCGGUAUUAGUGGGAUCAGCAAUAUUUCUGCUCAGUUUUUUUUAAUAAUUUUAUCUUUUUAUGAAAUGUAGAUUAAAUGUUAUCUUUUAAUUCACUUUGUUGAUAAAAUAAUCCAUGAGCUAA
Long non-coding RNA from Patella vulgata (common limpet), 3528 nucleotides. RefSeq lists it as uncharacterized. Lineage: Eukaryota; Metazoa; Mollusca; Gastropoda; Patellidae. The record is from RefSeq and is a predicted model, not a curated record. The transcript is spliced from 2 exons.